This 260-nucleotide long non-coding RNA is filed under the name Marmota monax (woodchuck). Lineage: Eukaryota; Metazoa; Chordata; Mammalia; Rodentia; Sciuridae. The record is from RNAcentral.
UUUUAAGAUGUUAAGUCUACAAAGGCCAUCCACUUGAAUUUCCAUUUCAGAAAACUGUCCCUACUUAUAGAGGUCUUUGUAAAGCAGUUUGGAAAGUUUCUGAAAAACGAGGUAUGUGAUGCAAAGAGGCAAUGUUUUAAAUUGUUUUCACAGUAUCAUAUUACAAUUUGUGCAAGAGUGUUUAAUACAAACCACGCAAGUUUGCUUUCUUCAAGAAAAUCAAACUGUUCUGACUGAGGACAGACUGGGCUAUACUUAAA